Molecule: ribosomal RNA, 409 nt
Filed under: uncultured microorganism
Description: bacterial SSU rRNA
Rfam family: Archaeal small subunit ribosomal RNA
Source: RNAcentral
GUGCACCAGGCGAGAAACCUCCGCAAUACACGAAAGUGUGACGGGGUUACCCAAAGUGUCCAAAUUUGGACUGUGGUAGGUGAGUAAUGUCCCCUACUAGAAAGGAGAGGGCAAGGCUGGUGCCAGCCGCCGCGGUAAAACCAGCUCUUCAAGUGGUCGGGAUAAUUAUUGGGCUUAAAGUGUCCGUAGCCGGUUUAGUAAGUUCCUGGUAAAAUCGGGUAGCUUAACUAUCUGUAUGCUAGGAAUACUGCUAUACUAGAGGGCGGGAGAGGUCUGAGGUACUACAGGGGUAGGGGUGAAAUCCUGUAAUCCUUGUAGGACCACCAGUGGCGAAGGCGUCAGACUGGAACGCGCCUGACGGUGAGGGACGAAAGCCAGGGGAGCGAACCGGAUUAGAUACCCCCGUAGU